Molecule: non-coding RNA, 21 nt
Filed under: Caenorhabditis elegans
Lineage: Eukaryota; Metazoa; Nematoda; Chromadorea; Rhabditida; Rhabditidae
Source: RNAcentral
UGUGAAACUACAAAUAAUGUA